UAAGGAAUAUUGGACAAUGGGCGCAAGCCUGAUCCAGCCAUGCCGCGUGAAGGAUGAAGGCCCUAUGGGUCGUAAACUUCUUUUAAACGGGACGAAACCCCUCGACGUGUCGAGGGCUGACGGUACCGUAAGAAUAAGGGUCGGCUAACUUCGUGCCAGCAGCCGCGGUAAUACGAAGGACCCGAGCGUUAUCCGGAUUUAUUGGGUUUAAAGGGUGCGUAGGCGGACCUAUAAGUCAGUGGUGAAAGCCCAUCGCUCAACGAUGGAAUUGCCAUUGAUACUGUAGGUCUUGAGUAUAGUUGAGGUGGGCGGAAUGUGUCAUGUAGCGGUGAAAUGCUUAGAUAUGACACAGAACACCUAUUGCGAAGGCAGCUCGCUAAGCUAUAACUGACGCUGAGGC
RNAcentral lists this ribosomal RNA (400 nucleotides) under uncultured bacterium. RNAcentral describes it as "bacterial SSU rRNA". It matches the Rfam family "Bacterial small subunit ribosomal RNA", at positions 355 to 752 of the family's 1533-position model. The record is from RNAcentral.